GUAAUUACCUGGUAGAAGACACUAUGAUCAUGAAGGUGGUUUUCCCAGGUAGGCUUUGCCCAUUGCCUUCUGGAUAUGCUGAUCCCUGUGAAUUCCCCAGAUGUAGGAAAAUUAUCUUGCAGAAUUUGUGGCAGUGGGGAACUCUGUUCACACUCUCCUCUG
Molecule: non-coding RNA, 162 nt
Organism: Erinaceus europaeus (western European hedgehog)
Lineage: Eukaryota; Metazoa; Chordata; Mammalia; Eulipotyphla; Erinaceidae
Source: Rfam